GUGCAGCGCCGCGGUAAUACGGAGGGUGCAAGCGUUGUUCGGAAUUACUGGGCGUAAAGCGCACGUAGGCGGACUGAUCAGUUGGGGGUGAAAUCCCAGGGCUCAACCCUGGAACUGCCUUCAAUACUGUCAGUCUUGAGUCCGAGAGAGGUGAGUGGAAUUCCGAGUGUAGAGGUGAAAUUCGUAGAUAUUCGGAGGAACACCAGUGGCGAAGGCGGCUCACUGGCUCGAUACUGACGCUGAGGUGCGAAAGCGUGGGGAGCAAACAGGAUUAGAUA
Molecule: ribosomal RNA, 278 nt
Filed under: uncultured bacterium
Lineage: Bacteria
Description: partial 16S ribosomal RNA
Rfam family: Bacterial small subunit ribosomal RNA
Source: RNAcentral